Molecule: ribosomal RNA, 439 nt
Filed under: uncultured bacterium
Lineage: Bacteria
Description: bacterial SSU rRNA
Rfam family: Bacterial small subunit ribosomal RNA
Source: RNAcentral
GACGAACGCUGGCGGCGCGCCUAACACAUGCAAGUCGAACGAGCGAGAGAGAGCUUGCUUUCUUGAGCGAGUGGCGAACGGGUGAGUAACGCGUGAGGAACCUGCCUCAAAGAGGGGGACAACAGUUGGAAACGACUGCUAAUACCGCAUAAGCCCACGACCCGGCAUCGGGUUGAGGGAAAAGGAGCAAUCCGCUUUGAGAUGGCCUCGCGUCCGAUUAGCUAGUUGGUGAGGUAACGGCCCACCAAGGCGACGAUCGGUAGCCGGACUGAGAGGUUGAACGGCCACAUUGGGACUGAGACACGGCCCAGACUCCUACGGGAGGCAGCAGUGGGGAAUAUUGCACAAUGGGGGAAACCCUGAUGCAGCGACGCCGCGUGGAGGAAGAAGGUCUUCGGAUUGUAAACUCCUGUUGUUGAGGAAGAUAAUGACGGUACUC